Molecule: ribosomal RNA, 440 nt
Filed under: uncultured bacterium
Lineage: Bacteria
Description: partial 16S ribosomal RNA
Rfam family: Bacterial small subunit ribosomal RNA
Source: RNAcentral
CCUACGGGUGGCAGCAGUGAGGAAUAUUGGGCAAUGGAGGCAACUCUGACCCAGCCAUGCCGCGUGAGUGAAGAAGGUUUUCGGAUUGUAAAGCUCUUUCGGAUGUGACGAUGAUGACGGUAGCCUCUAAAGAAGCCCCGGCUAACUUCGUGCCAGCAGCCGCGGUAAUACGAAGGGGGCAAGCGUUGUUCGGAAUUACUGGGCGUAAAGGGAGUGUAGGCGGUUUAGUAAGAUAGUGGUGAAAUCCCAGAGCUUAACUUUGGAAUUGCCAUUAUAACUAUUAGACUAGAAUUACAGAGAGGAGAGUGGAAUACCCAGUGUAGAGGUGAAAUUCGUAGAUAUUGGGUAGAACUCCAGUGGCGAAGGCAGCUCACUGGACUGCAACUGACACUGAGGCUCGAAAGUGUGGGUAUCAAACAGGAUUAGAUACCCCUGUAGUC